ACCCUCUUAGGAUCACACCUGGAGAGUUUCUAAUACUCUACUAGUCUCGGCUAUGGGAGGGACAGUCAAGCAGAGGCCUAUCCAUUCCAUUCCUAUCUUGGGCAGUGUCUGUCAAGUGGAAGACAAUCUGCUACAAAU
RNAcentral lists this small nucleolar RNA (138 nucleotides) under Ornithorhynchus anatinus (platypus). Lineage: Eukaryota; Metazoa; Chordata; Mammalia; Monotremata; Ornithorhynchidae. The record is from RNAcentral.